GGAAAACUAGGUCAUGGGGAGUGAAGCAAAACACAAUGGAAACACAGAACAAGCAGACAUGUUACAUAAAAAGACUAAACCAAAGUUUAUAACCCUGUGACCCAUGUGAUGUAGUAAUUGAGCAAUUGACAAGGAGCUAGUGGACAGUUGCCAUGGCAAAAGAAAGCAAAAACAAAAAAUAA
Long non-coding RNA from Carassius carassius (crucian carp), 182 nucleotides. RefSeq lists it as uncharacterized. NCBI's taxonomy places the organism in Eukaryota, Metazoa, Chordata, Actinopteri, Cypriniformes, Cyprinidae. The record is from RefSeq and is a predicted model, not a curated record. The transcript has 2 exons.